UGUGUGUGAUAUACAACACAAUUUGUUUUCUUUCAUUUUAUAGUUGAUGCAACAUUUCUGGGUGUGUUUCGUACAGCGUCAGUGUGUGUGGCCUCCCUAGUCCUGAUUUAAACCAGAAGACGGUUAGCUGGUGCCCUCUGACCCAGGCGAGGAGCUGGCACUGCCGGGAGAACUGGCUGGCUCAGAGAGGGUUCUGCCACUCUCUUGGGACCUGGCCCUGGAAGUCACCGAUGUCACUUGCCAUUGAGUCCAGAUGACACACCAGCUCCAAAUGACAGCUAACCAAAGGCGAUGUCCUCAGAGUAGUGAAUCCUGUUCUCUUCUAUUCACGUGUCCCUGUGGGAAUGCACAGUUUCUCCAUGGCACUGCAAGAGAGUGGAAGUGGGCAGGCCGGGGUCUUCCCAAAUGCAUUUCCCUUGCACACUGAAGGGGGCCCUUCUCGCCCUUCCCUGGGAUGCUGAGAAAGGGGCACCCUCAAAAGCUUGUGUCCUGUAGGGGGAGGGAGUUUAGCUCUGGCUGCAGAUUCCACUGUAGCUGACUUACUGGGCUCUUGGUGGGUUCUGGGAAGACUGGAGCACACUGACUUCAUCAGCAGGGAGCAGCUGGCUCCUCCCGCAGGUGCUUCCCAAGCUUCCUCCUGUGUGGGGCUGGCUGACACUCUGCUGGGCUGACCAUCAUCUAGGAGAUGUCAUGGUGAAAAUAACAAUUCUGCUCAAGUGA
Molecule: long non-coding RNA, 720 nt
Organism: Erinaceus europaeus (western European hedgehog)
Lineage: Eukaryota; Metazoa; Chordata; Mammalia; Eulipotyphla; Erinaceidae
Exons: 2
Source: RefSeq, a predicted model, not a curated record